GGAGGCGCACAACCAGUGGAGCAUGUGGUUCAAUUCGAUACAAAGCGAUGAACCUUACCUGGGCUUGAAAUGUACCUGCAAAUCCCGAGAAACCGGGAAAUCUUUCGAAGGUGGUACACAGCUGUUGCAUGGCUGUCGUCAGCUCGUGACGUGAGUUGUUCUCUUAAGUGAGGUAACGAGCGCAACCCCCGUUCUGUGUUAUUGUGUCACAGAAGACUGCCUAGCAUUAUUUUGUUAGGAGGAAGGAGGGGACGACGUCAAGUCAUCACGAUGCUUAUGUCCAGGGCUACACACAUCCUACAAUGGGCUAUAACAGAGGGUUGCAAGACCGCAAGGUGGAGCUAAUCCCUAAACUAGCCCUCAGUUGGGAUUGCAGGCUGAAACUCGCCUGCAUGAACCCGGAAUUGGUAGUAAUCGCACAUCAGCAGCGUGCGGUGAAUACGUUCUCGCCUCUU
This 455-nucleotide ribosomal RNA is filed under the name uncultured bacterium. RNAcentral's name for it is "bacterial SSU rRNA". It matches the Rfam family "Bacterial small subunit ribosomal RNA", at positions 917 to 1382 of the family's 1533-position model. The record is from RNAcentral.